This 105-nucleotide ribosomal RNA is filed under the name Asparagus officinalis (garden asparagus). RNAcentral describes it as "partial large subunit ribosomal RNA". The record is from RNAcentral. Lineage: Eukaryota; Viridiplantae; Streptophyta; Magnoliopsida; Asparagales; Asparagaceae.
ACCCCAGGUCAGGCGGGGCCACCCGCUGAGUUUAAGCAUACUACCAGCUGUCGCCCCGCGACCAUAACGAGGAGGCCCCCUUUCCUAAGUCCCCUUAUAUUCCUG